Molecule: long non-coding RNA, 1300 nt
Organism: Oncorhynchus masou masou (cherry salmon)
Lineage: Eukaryota; Metazoa; Chordata; Actinopteri; Salmoniformes; Salmonidae
Exons: 3
Source: RefSeq, a predicted model, not a curated record
UGUUGAAGUUCAAAUCGGAAGACGUUGGCUAGCUGUUGGCUAGCUAGCUAGCAGUAACUCCUACGUUAAGGACGACAAGUAGCUGGCUAGCUAACCUCGGUAAAUUAAGAUAAUCACUCUAAGUCUACACACUCUAAACUACACAAUUACCUUGGAUACGAAGACAGCAAAGACAACUAUGUAGCUAGCUAACACUACACUAAUCGAGUCGUUGAGUGUAAUAGUUUCUACAGUGCUAGUGGACGAAUCCUUUCCCCUUCCAAAUAACUCACCAAGCCACCCUCCACUUCAAGGAAACCUUCCAUCUUCCACAAAACAGGAACCCUGUUCAGUAAGUUCCAAAGACGUGGAACAGACGAAUCCUGACUCCGGAAUGUUAGAAUCCUGACUCUGGAGUGUCACCUAUCUUCCCCAUUAUCCCCUGUGUCUUCUGUUAUCCUGAGCCUGCCUGCUGUCAGGGACCUUUACUCCACCUCUGGUUUACUGAACUCUGCCUAUCCUGAGCCUGCCUGCCUUGACCUGUUGUUUGCCUGCCCCUGGUGUUACAAAAAACUUCACACAGUCUGCACUUGGGUCUCACCUUGAUUCCAGAUAUUAUUAUGCCAAGGCAGCAGCUACUCUUCCUGGGGACUCGCAAAAUUAAGGCAGUUCUACAAUUUGAUGCCUUCAAGUUGUAGCCCAUGAAGAAGUAGAUAUGGCAUUGAGCUCCCACAUCAUAAAAGGAUACCCACCCUUGUUCAUAGUCUACGUACACCCCGACCCUGGGGUCAAGGAGAGAGGAACAGGAGAGUCACCAAGAGCUUUGUAUGUGCUCCCAUCUCUCAGCCAUAUCAACUAGUAUCCAUUCUCAGGGUUUAGUAAAACACUACCCUUCCUGUUUAUGGACACUCUCGCCACUCCUAAUGUCCAGGCAGUCUUCCCCGUCACCAUUACUUUGUAAUAACACCACCCUGUGGAAAAGCCCUCCUUUCCCAGGAUACUGACGCUCAGAUUAAAUUAUCCUGGGUAGUCUGGAAGAUUCUUUCUUUGCUCUCCUCUUCUAGGGUCUCUCCGGGUCACUUGUUUCCCGUCUGCAGACAGGAGGAGAGAGAGAUGAGCCGUAUCUGGAUCCAGAAUCACAUCCACUGUGGAGAAUCAAGAAAGACAGAGUUUCCCGCUGAGCAAAGUGUACAUAGUGAAUACAGUGUUUGUGUAGUUUUAUAAACUGGGUGGUUCGAGCCCUGGAUGCUGAUUGGCUGACAGCCGUGGUAUAUCAGACCAUGCACCACGGGUAUGUCAAAACAUGUAUUUUUACAUUGGU